This is a long non-coding RNA of Monodelphis domestica (gray short-tailed opossum), 2359 nucleotides long. NCBI's taxonomy places the organism in Eukaryota, Metazoa, Chordata, Mammalia, Didelphimorphia, Didelphidae. The record is from Ensembl.
AGGGAGCAGAAGGCAGCUGGAGGAAGCAGAGAAUAUCCCCAUACGAAGAUCCCCCCCCCACACCUCCCCCUGCCAGCACACCAGGAACUGAGCACUCCAUUAGGAUGUCAGGAGGCACUGUGGUGAAGCAGACAAUACCGGGAGACCCGGAUUGUCUAAGCCACCUUCCUGCUGGCCUCAGGACCAGGAUCUCAGGGCCACUGCCCAAGGUCAGCACCAAGAGGAAUUUGUCCAGAAAGUCGCCACCAGGAUGUGCUGGACUAAUGGUUGUUUUGGUCUUUUCCCCCGAAAAAGGGAUACCUAUUUUUCCAAGGCAGUCCCUAACCUCUUAUUUCCCAAACCUCCCUUUAGAGGUUUAAAGAGGCCGCCCUAAGCUAGACUGCAAAGGUUUGGGUUCUAGACCUGGCAGGGUCGCUAAGUAGCCCAAGAAAGGCAACUUCUCGGGGAUUCACUUCCCUCCUCUAUAAAAUCAUCAGAUUGACCAGAUGCCCCAAAUGGUCCUGGCCAGCCAGCCUCAGGGUUCCAGGUUCCAGGUUCUAGAUUCUCUGGUUCUAUGACUUAGCUACUUCUUUGCCUGUACUCCUCUUUACUCUUCUACUUCUCCCCCCUCCCUCUUCAUACCUCACCCCAUCCCAGCUUGUUGUCCUCUAUGAGCUGGCCUAGCAGGUCAUACUCACCCUCUGGGCCCUCUACGAAGGGCCCAGAGAAGAUCCUAUGAGGAGGACCUCUAACCCGGGGACUUCCUUUUGGCAAGGAUCAUCUUCCCUGCUCUGGGCUCUCCAGGCUGACUCCUCUCCCUUUGCCCGAAGGGGCAAGUUCAAGUUCAUUGUGAUUCAUCCCUCUCCCCACUACCCCAAAGGCAAGAAAACAUGGAUUGGAUACAGAGUGAGGAGGGCACCGGGCAAAGUGACCACUAAUACAACACAUCUCAGUUGCAGCCUUCUGGACAAAUGCCUCUUAGCCUUGGCUCUGGGCAGAGGCCCCCAGAGAUGUUGCUCCUGAAGAUUGCAGGAAAAUAUGAAUUACAGCACAAACUGCAUGAACUUCAUGAAUCCGGAGCUGCAGUACAAGCCAGACCACUAGAUUUUUCUCUUCAUGACCUGAAACCAGGAGAUAAAGUAUAUAUUAAGAAUUUUAAGCAAACUGGAGCAACUCAGCCUUCAUGGUAAGGACCAUUCCAAAUAUUGUUAACUACUCCAACAUCUAUAAAGGUUGGAGAGAAGGACUCUUGAAUUCAUUGCUCACAUGUGAAGAAAGCAUCUUCUGUUGGGACUGAUUGAUUAUACCCUAUCAUAUGCAUUGGAGAUAAUAAUCCAUUGGAAAGUGGAUGCUGUUUUUUGAGAAUACCUUGAAUUACUGAUUUUCCCCCUUAUUUAUUAUUGCUUUUCUUUUAUUUUGAUUAGAAUAAUUGAUUUUUUCUCAUUUCUUAUACUAAAGGUACAUAUAAUUAAUAUUAUUUUUCUGCAGUAAUAGAAGUUUUAUAUAUAUAUAUGUGUAUAUAUAUAUAUAUAUAUUCUUGCUAUAAUAUCAAUGCAUAACCAAAAGCUUUAAACUAUGGGAACCUGCCAUUUAUAGAUAAAAUGUUAUGGGACUGUGAUUAAUGUUUAUGUGUGAUUCCAGAAAAAGGGAUAAAAAACAAGGAACACAUACUUAACCUGAACAGUGCCAAAAAGAGCACACAGGAAAUACUAAUGUGAGACUCGAGGUUGCGACACUUGACAUAUGUUAAGUCGUAGGACUUCCUUGUAUCUACACUCUUUGUGAAGUACUCAUACAAGUACAAAAUUCAACUAUCAUGUUGGCUCCCUAUAUCCCUGAGAAUGAAAAAAAAAACAGACGAGGGAAUGACACUUCCCUAUCAAAAUAGAAUUCUAGUUCCUUUCCUUCUUAUAUUAUGGCAACUUCCUGUAGUCUUGGCUGCAAAUGGGUAAGUGAAAUAUUACUGCAUUCUGUCCUACAGACUUGUGGGAUAGAAAUUACUUUAAAUUGGACCUAUACAAGGGCCUAUUUUGAAUUUUUUUCCUUAUGUUUUUGGUUGUGUUUUUCUCUUCUUUUGAUAGUUGACUCAUACACCCCCAUAACUCAACAUUGCAUCCUGAGCUGAACUGGAUUUUUUUAACACCCACUUCAGGGGGGAUUGUAUUUUAAUUUAAAAUCCAAGAUUUUUUAUCUUUUGUUUGAGAUUGUAUUCUUUAAAAAUCCAAGAUUUUGAUUUUGUUUGAGAAAAAGAUCUUCAAGGAAGAAGCUUGCUAACUCCUAAAUCCAGAGAACGAACUGUUGCAUAAAGAUGCGAGAAAACCUACACUACAUCAAGAAGAUCAAGAAUAAACUUUGGGUGUGGUUGAUUGAACUGAAGUUU